RNAcentral lists this ribosomal RNA (224 nucleotides) under Klebsiella pneumoniae. Its description in RNAcentral is "partial 23S ribosomal RNA". It matches the Rfam family "Bacterial large subunit ribosomal RNA", at positions 2707 to 2925 of the family's 2925-position model. The record is from RNAcentral. Lineage: Bacteria; Pseudomonadati; Pseudomonadota; Gammaproteobacteria; Enterobacterales; Enterobacteriaceae.
CACUGGUGUUCGGGUUGUCAUGCCAAUGGCACUGCCCGGUAGCUAAAUGCGGAAGAGAUAAGUGCUGAAAGCAUCUAAGCACGAAACUUGCCCCGAGAUGAGUUCUCCCUGAGACUUUAAGUCUCCUGAAGGAACGUUAAAGACGAUGACGUUGAUAGGCCGGGUGUGUAAGCGCAGCGAUGCGUUGAGCUAACCGGUACUAAUGAACCGUGAGGCUUAACCUU